AAAGAAGGGGCGGGGUGGGAUCUCGGUCAAAGCGGGGCUGGAGCGGCGACUGUUUUGGCUAGUCUGAGAAGGGCAUUCGAGUGACCGUUGACAACGGGUGAGGCAGCGUCAAGGCUGAAGGAAGAACCUUAACUUUAUGCUUCCAGGACUUCUAGCUAGCACUUCAACCUGAAUGAUGGCUUCAGUAAAAGCUAGCAUAAUAAAGAACUUCACUGUAAUUCCAUGAUAUUCUAACCAAGAAUACCUGCAUAUCUGAGGCAAUAAGCGAAGAGACUAGAAUAAAAUUUAAUUCCUGACAGAAAAGGGAGUGGAAAAGAAUACUAACCCUCCUCAUAGCGUCCUUCAUUGCAAGGAACAUCUAGGCGGUAUUGGGAUUUCUGGUGCUUUUUAAGGGGUGAAAGAGAGAUUAUAGUCCACUGAACAAGGAAAAAAAAUAACAUUUAGUUUGGGAAUAAAAGUUCAUCUGGAGUAUGAACUUCUUUGCCUCAAGUCAAAGAAGAAGAUAUGCUGAGACCUCAAAGAAAGGGAAUACAGACUUAAUAUUUAAAUACUACCUACCAUUCCAUGGGGCCUAGGAACUGAAGG
Long non-coding RNA from Ailuropoda melanoleuca (giant panda), 585 nucleotides. RefSeq lists it as uncharacterized. Lineage: Eukaryota; Metazoa; Chordata; Mammalia; Carnivora; Ursidae. The record is from RefSeq and is a predicted model, not a curated record. The transcript has 3 exons.